AGAUUUGUCACAUUGUCUUGUAUUGGCUUCGUUAUCCAUCAACGUGAAGCUUUGAAGCCCUUUUCGUCUGUUGUCUUGUUUCUUCCCUGUUUCAGCUAGGCAGAUGGGAUUUAAAGAUAGAAGACAUUGCCCUUUGCUCUGCAAGUUAGCAACAGAAUACAUCAGGAAAUGCGAUGGUUGCGAAGAGGAUAUAUAUACAUAUUUCUCUAAUGAACCAGAUGUGGAUUCACUGUUUGUUAAGCUCGUGGAAGAGUUUGAGAGAUGCAUUCUUAGUUAUUUUGCAUUUCAUUGGAGUCAUGCAGAUCUUAUGAUUAGUCAGGUCAGCAUCAACAUGUAUAUACUAUGUUGGUAAUAUAUCGCUUCAAAUAUAUGAAAAAACUAUAAAAACUAUGAUUGAUACAUGUUCAAAUCCGACACAUCCAAGUUCAAAUAACAUAUAGUAAAUGACUUGUUUUUUAUCAUAUUGUUUUAGGUAUUAAGUUCUGAUGCUGAACCCAAGAGAAAGCUCAAGCAGAUUGUCAUGGCUGCAACUAGGUUGGGCAUAUUCUAUUCUUUGAUUAUUGUUAUUGUCAGAUCAUAAUAAUAACUAAAAAAAAUAUUGAAAUAAGGUAGAUCUGAAGAAUUGCAAAUUAAUAUAUCAACUUUAGAUUAUACCUAUUUACAGCAAGAAACUUGGAUUUUAAAACCUUAAAACUAGCGUAGCUAUAGUCUCUCACCAUUGUCGUCACUGCUGACAAGUAAUACUGAUUUCUACAAAAAGAACUUCGGUUUUGUAAUAUAGGGAACAAAGAUUUGAGAGGGUGACAAAAAGUCUGAAGGUGGCUAGGGUUUUCAAUACAUUGGUGGAAGAAAUGAAAGCAAUGGGACUCACCUCAACUGAUGAUUCUCGAUGUACAGAGGUGAUGGCUCCAGUGGCUCACAGUGAUAGAAGCCCAGUGCUGCUACUCAUGGGAGGUGGGAUGGGAGCUGGGAAGAGUACCGUCCUUAAGGACAUCCUCAAAGAGUAAGCUCGUCCUAUAUCCAACACUCAUCACCGAGUAACUCAAUGGUAACGUAGCAGACAAUUAGUCUCUUUUUGUUCCUGCAGAAGUAAAGUAACCAUUUGUAUGAAUGACUAUUUUAGUCAAGUAGACCUUCCAUAAAGUUUGCUUUUGAAAUUAGUAGUAAAUAUGAGUACUUACAAGGAACUAAUGUUGAGUGUUUUGCUUAAAAUAUGAAAAGAACAUUCUGGGCAGGCGCAGCAGGAAAUGCAGUAGUGAUCGAGGCUGAUGCAUUCAAAGAAUCAGAUGUCAUAUACAGAGCCCUCAGCUCCAAAGGUCAUGCAGACAUGGUUCAUACAGCAGAACUGGUAAGAGUCACUUUCUCAGCCUCACCAACUUUCACUGAUAGUUUCUUUAGCAAACUGAAUGAUUUCAAUUGCAUAGGAUUAAUGGCUUUAUACAGUAGCUAGCAGUAAACAAAGUUUUCUCCCAGCAUGUACAGGUUAUAAUCUAUGGAAACAAAGAGUUUCAAUGCAUUUCCCCAUCUCAUUCACUCCACUUGGAUCCUAUGAUUGGCAUCUCUAUCACCCAAGCUGGUUGCACUUUUGGCCAAAAUUUUGAGAUCAAAUAGCUCUUGGAUUAAACUUCCUUUAUUUCUAGAAAUAACACUAGGUUGCCUUUCUAAUUUAUGUGUAUAUGUUUUAGUAAUUAACUAGACUCAAAACUAAAACAUAAAAUCCAUGCAACCUGAAGGAAAAUGAUUUAGUUGCAUUAUUAACUGAAAAUGUCAAACAUCUACAUUUAGAAAAUGCAUACCAACGGCAACCAAUUCAAAUAUUUUUCCAGCCUUUCCAUAAUGCAAGAGCCUCUGUAAUCAUUUUCUGAGCUACUCUGAGGUUGGACUUUCUUCCAUCAACCUUUAAUCAAUUAACAACAUCCCAGUAAUCCAUGUCCUGUAAUAUCUUGUCACUGCCACAUGUGGCCCUAAAAAAGUUUCCUUCCCACAUGAAUAAGUGUAUCUUUACAUCAAUAGUAAUAAAUAUUUCAUUUUUCUGUUCUCCACCAAGUCAACAUAGACUCAUAGUUCUCAAACAAAAAACUCAAUGUUAAAUGCACAAAUCAACAAAAAAAUACUUCAUAGGUAAAUGAAUAACAUGGUAACCAUAUUAAUGCUUCUCAUUGGUUUUAACAAUUGUCCCAAACAGGUGCACCAAUCAUCUACAGAUGCAGCAUCAUCCCUCCUAGUGACAGCACUCAAUGAAGGGCGGGACGUGAUCAUGGAUGGAACACUCUCCUGGAUACCAUUUGUUGUGCAAACAAUAACUAUGGCCAGAUGUGUCCAUCGCCGGCGAUAUCGUAUGGGUGUUGGUUACAAGCGAAAAGCUGACGGGACUGUAAUUGAGAACUACUGGGAGCAAAUUGAAGAAGACCAAUUGCAAGGAGGGAAAAGGAGGAAGCCAUACAGAAUAGAGCUGGUUGGGGUUGUUUGUGAAGCUUAUUUAGCGGUCAUUAGAGGCAUAAGGUACUGCACCAUGGAAAACACUAGAGACAGUUGUCUUAGUUUUAGUACGAAGUCUUUUCCCCUUUAGCUGAGAUAUUGAUUUUAUCAAGAAAUUCAAUAUUUACAGGAGAGCUAUAAUGUGUAGACGCGCUGUAAGGGUGCAGUCACAAUUGAAAUCCCACAAGAGAUUUGCAAAUGCGUUUCCAACAUAUUGCCAACUGGUUGACAGUGCUAGGCUGUAUUCCACCAAUGCUUUGGAAGGUCCACCUAAGGUGAAUUAACUAUCACACAUUUUCAAUCUUAAUUUACUUAACAGGUGACAUAAAACUGAAAGGAACACCUAGUUCACCAAAGAAUUUUAACUCUGGAACCUAAGGUCAGAACAGCUGGAACAGACUGGACCAAUCUUGAAUCACUCAGAUAGCUAUAAGUUCAUGCAAGAAAUGCUAUUUGUAAAUUGUUUGACAUUUCAAUACAGGAGGCUUUGUCUCUGGUACAAAAUUAGAUGAGGAGAACUGGCUUUCUGUUAAAGCCAUGAACCCUGCUCAAUCUUUCAGGAAGAUCAUAAGCAGGCUUACCACUAGGCUAAUUUUAUUGGAAAAAAACCAUAGUAGUAUAAAAAACAGCUGACACUGUUGUAAAGUAGAAAUCUACAAAUAGAACUCCUUUCUAGGCAUGCAAACUUGCAUUUUCUUGCAUUCCAGCCGCCUAGUUUACUCCAUUAUAAUCCUAAAACUGAAAUCUAGGAGGAAGAGAAAAUAGCCUUGUCUGUUACAGAUAACUGCAGGCUGCAGCAUGCAGGGAUAAACAAAUAAAUUGUGAAGGAACUUCAUUGCUAGCAAAAUUACUCCAUGCAACCAAUUAUGUAAUAUUAACAUGAAAAUUUUUGUAAAGUUGAUAGGAUGGAAAGAAAGAGAGAGAACCUUGCUAGUUGAUCCAGAUGAAAUUGACUGUUUAAAGAAAGUGGGCAGGCUGAAUGAAGAAGCUGAGUCCAUAUAUGAACUUUACAAGCACCCCAACCCGGCAUGUGAAGCUGGUUCAAUCUGGAAAGACAUUGUACUAUCACCUUCUAGACUAAAUAUUCAAAAGGAGCUGAAGUUUACCAUCCAGAAAGUGGAAAGAAUGACACAGCACAAAAAGAGUUAAAAGCUUAUGAAUAUUCACCAAAAAAUUUACAUGCUGAAGGUGUCUCAAACCUUUUUCUAUAGUUAUGACCAAGAAUGUCUACUAAGGUUGUAUUAAAUCAUGAAGAAUAUGUGUAAAUUUUUUGUUACUAGCUUAGCUCAGUUCAGAAUCUGGAACUGGAAAACAGAAUAUUCCCAUUAAUUGUUUCAAAUAAUCAACUAGUAUCGGUAGAUGUGGGGCUGAGCGUUGGAACUCCAAAGAGGAAUUUAAAAGUAAAAGAAAGAGCAAUUACAGCAGCAACUUAAGUGAGAUAAAUUCUUACUUCACAAUUCAAUUAACGCAGACUGUGCGUGGUUGCAAUUACCAUCAAAUCUAAAGUCAUGCAUCCACACAAACAUGCACACCUACAACAAAAGAUGAGUAUGGAUGCUAGCUUUCAAGCAAUAAAUAAGCAGAAUAAAUAUGAUAAUAACCAAAAGGAUCUGCAGCAUGGGAUAAUGCAGACCACUAUCAACGAACCUGGACAUCCCAUUAUUUUCCUUUAUUACAACUAAGAACCUAUUCAACGCUCAAAUAAAAAAUGAAUUGUUUAGCAAAUGGUUGUCAAUUGAUGACCCACCCAUAAACAUGAAGAAAAUAAUGGUAAUCCAGAUUGUGAAUGAAAUAUGUAACUAGGAUCACAAUUUAUGAUACCUGGAAGCUAAAAGUGAAGCAUUUCACAUAUUCAAAAGAAUCCCCAUUUUCGGUAGAGUGAUCCUGCAAAUACAAACCACUGUAAUAAUGAAACCACAACAAUUUUUUCCCUUUUGGAACUGUUUUAUAAAAUACCAUAUUAUAGAGCUGUUCUUGAAAAACAAUUGUUCAUAAUAGAAGCUGCUCUGAACAACAAUUGUUCUAAACAUAGUUCUUGAAAUGCAAUUAUGCUAAACAAAAGUUAUGGACAUUAGCUAUUAUCAAGAGGAGCCAUUCUAAAAUGAUAGCUACCUUGGAUGACAAAUGUUCUAAAUGAAGCCUUGUUUUGAACAUAGUUGUUUCAAAUUUAGAUUCUCAAACAAUAAUUGUUCUAAACAAUAACUAUUCUAAACAAGAGUUGUUCUUCCAGAAGAGAUAUUAAUAGAAGCAA
RNAcentral lists this long non-coding RNA (4729 nucleotides) under Gossypium barbadense (sea-island cotton). RNAcentral describes it as "long non-coding RNA (GBAR_LNC018334)". Lineage: Eukaryota; Viridiplantae; Streptophyta; Magnoliopsida; Malvales; Malvaceae. The record is from RNAcentral.